CAUACGAACCUGUCUAUAAAAGCGAACACUUCGUUAGUUGGAAAAUCAGCAAAGAGUCGAAUAGUUCGAAGGGAUCGACAGAAUUUCCAGACUCUAUCCUUCAAAACUUCCAGACACCAUGGAUUUCUCAGCAGAGCAAGACCGAACUAAGCUCGUCUGAUUCUAGUGUAUAGGAUAACGUAUCAAACGAAUGCGAGUCUACAAGAUAACAGUGCCGUCAUAAUUUCUGACGAUGAAAUUUCCGAGACAUCUGAUCGAAGCCUUUUGAAUCUGAGCUCUACACGUAAGUCAUAACAUAAAAUUUUACAUGGUUUACAUGAAUAAGCAGAAAUGUAAUCAUGCUUUUCUUUCCUAUAGCACAAAUGAAAAUCCCUCUCUAGACGAGCAGAUUUGUCAGAUGAAAC
This is a long non-coding RNA of Ictalurus punctatus (channel catfish), 404 nucleotides long. The record is from Ensembl. NCBI's taxonomy places the organism in Eukaryota, Metazoa, Chordata, Actinopteri, Siluriformes, Ictaluridae.